Molecule: long non-coding RNA, 4308 nt
Filed under: Capsicum annuum
Lineage: Eukaryota; Viridiplantae; Streptophyta; Magnoliopsida; Solanales; Solanaceae
Description: long non-coding RNA (CANN_LNC020469)
Source: RNAcentral
UCAGACUAUACGUGAUACCCCCUUCCCCAAAACCCAAAGUACAAUCAACAGUCGAUCCUCUAUCUUCUCUCUUCUCCCUCUCCUCCACCAUCACUAAAACAGUAACCCUAAUCCCCCACCACAGCCCAUCGUCUUCCCUAGCCGUAGACUGCAAGGAUCCACCAAAUCCAUCAUCUAUCAACCCGUAACGUCCGGUGACAGCAAACGCAGACACUAAAUCAGUGAUAAGAGCGUAAGACAGGCUUCAAAUCCACCAUUAUGGCUUUGAAAAAGCUUGGGAAAGUUGGAGAUUCGGAUUUGAAACUCAAAUUCGAUCUCGAUUCUCGUAUUUUCUUCAAAUUUGUGGCUUCAAAUCCGGACUUGGACUAUAAAAAGGGGCGUUCUUCAACCUCCAAAGGGAAAGUGAAAAAGUUAGGAGAGAAAAGCAAGAAAAGAAGAGAAAAACAAGAUCGGAAAAUUGAGAAGAGAUGGGAAAAAGGAAAUCCCAAGAAUUCUCGAUCGUCCCUUAAUUUUGGGUUAAAAGAGAGUUCCCAGAGUCGAGUUCGGUGGACGAAAUCUUGACGGAAAAUCCCAAUAUUCUGCCCCAAACAACGUGCGAGUCUCCCCUUUAUUUUCAUUCUUCGCCUUUUUUUUUUAUUUUAUUAACUCGACCGAUUUAUGAACAUGUGAUUUUGAUAUUUUGCUGUUGGCAUUUUUUUGUUACCUUUGCGGAUGAUAAUAUCAUGUUGAUUCUAAAAUGGAUUUGGUUGUAAAUUUCAAUCAAGUUCAAGUCGUUGAUUUUGAAAAAAAUGAUUUUGAAUAUAAAUUUUUUAUAAUUUUUGAUUCUGGAAUAUAAUUUUUUUUAAGUUGUUACUGUUUCUGAACAGAAAAUGUUGGUUUUAAAAUAUGAAUGCUUAUCAAGUUUAAGUUGUUGUUGGCUCCCAAAAAUGGAUUUGCCGGUGGAUAUUUAACCUUUUAGAGGAGGGGAUUUCUAGCCCAUGCUGAUUUUUGUUUGUUUUCCCACAAAAUCAAGUCCGGAUCAUAAUUGUUUUGUAAGCUUUGGGUUUGCUUUGUGUCUAAGGGUGUGAAAAUGUGUGAAAUACCACCUAUCUUCGUUGUUACAAAGAAAGGCUCUGCAAAUAUCUGAAAAACCAGGAAACAAAAAAUUUGGGUUGAAUACUAGAAAAUCGUAGAGUAGCAGACGUUUCGACAUUAAUUUGAAACUAGUGGUUCAGAUUAAUGUUGGUUUGAAGCUAGGGAAAAAUAGAUUUUGAACACUUUUCACCUUUAUUUGAAAUUUAUAAAAGUCUACGUCGCUUUAUGAUGUGUUAGGUGAGUUCGUUCUACUUCAAGUUGGUCAUUUAGGGGCUGCUUUGUUUAAAUACGAAAUAACAUGCGGUUUGAAAUUAUAACUUUAUUUUGAAAGACUUUUGCACAUAAGUAAAAGGGUAGAACGACGCUGCUGCUCAAGGCACUCUGUUGGUAUGCCUCCUUGUGAUUAUGUGAAUUAAGGAGUAUGUGAAUCGCUUAGUUUCUUUGUUCGCGACGGAGGGGGCUGCCCGUCAUUAAACCUUCUUAACAUCUCCUAUUUCAUUGCUUCUUUUCAGUUCUUAUACGAAAAUUUUGGAAUUUGAAACUAUAUCACUCAUUUAAUUCUCUGUUCUUUUGUAUAUCUCGCCAUUUGUUAAGUUGGGAACAUAUUAAUUUUGUUAUGAUCAUUGUAGGGGGCUGUCACACAUUUUUUUUAGUAUGUAGUGACAUGUGGAUUGAAGUUUCAAAUAUGUUUUAAAGGGGUUCUGUGCUAAAGAGAGAAGUGAAAAGCUACGUUGAGCCAACCAUGUAUACCGUCUGUGUUUCGUUUAGUUCUUCUCUCUUUUGCCUAUUUCGAUUCCUUGAAUUUGUGUGUAUAAACUCUUAUUCUUUUUGGCAUGGAUGUCCGUCUUUUCAAUUUUAUUUGUCUUUCUUCUCGGCUAAUAAGUUUACCUAAGCCCAUAUAUAAGUGUUUGUCUAUCUAGGCUUUAAAAUAAUUUCCCUAAGUCUGGUUCAUGUUAACAUCAACAAAAAAAGGCCUUAGUUCUUACAGUACUUUGAAUAUUUGGUUUUGGUGGCUGAGUUUUUCUUAGCAUUGGAAGUUUUGCUCAUUUUAAGAUUGGGAUCAUUUUUUUCUUUUCUUCUUACAAUGAACAUCACUUUCCCUAAAUCUAGCCAUGUAAACCUCUCAUAUUUAAGCGUGUAUUUUGGUUGCACCAUUCCUGAAUGUAUGGGCUGUAUAAAGUAAUUUUUGAGUUUUCAUGGACCCGUGAGACUGUCCAAACUUGGUUCAAACCUAUGUUUUUGUCGUGUUUCUGUGGAUGAAUGUAAUUUUGGUCUUGAUAUUUUCAUUUUGUGUGUUAAUACGUGUGCGAAUAUAUGCAUUUGUGUUUUGUUUUGUUUUGGAUCGCUGGUGGUUUCUUGUCACAAAUCGAGUGCAUAAAUGGUUGAUUGCGAUUAUGGGGAAUUGUUGGUUGUGUUCUUGAUCUUUAUUCUUGGUUUUGAUGUGAGUCUGAUCUUUAUUCUCAACCCGUCGUGACUUUACUGUCGCCCUUUUGCAAAAUAUAGCUACCAGAUGGACUUUUAUUAUGGUUUUCGUGUUUCUAUCAUUGCCCAUUUCUUAGGAGUCUGAAACGUAAGGUAUUUUCGUCUAAGACCACAUAGCGACUUUGUUUUUGUACGUUCUGCCCAUCAUGUUCUUCAUAUAUGAUUCUUUCUUUUAAAUUAAAGGAUAACUACAAGUUUGUUAAUUAAAAAUGGAGUUAUGGCAUUCUGUUUCGAACGACAUUCAAAAUUAUUCAAGAAUAGUAUGUUUUGGAAUCUUAUUUUGUCUUCCCUGCAAAGUAAACGUUUAAUGUCUUCGUGCUUUAAGAAGUCUUCUCUCAUAUUGCGUCUUCGGUAUUUGCUCUUUUGCUAAAUGGAACGAAGACUGGGUUUUUCCCUUUCCACCUAAAUUUAGCCUUUUGUUUGAUGUUUUCUUGGGUAAUAUAUGUCCAGCUUUUUUUUUUUUGUGUGUGUUUGUUCUGCCCCCCUUUCUUUUCACUUUUAAUAGUUAUGUCUUGAUCUUAAUAAUAGCAUAAUGUAUGAUCAUCUCCUCUUCCAAUUGUUCGGAAAAUUUGUGUUUAAAGAUAUUAAGUUCUCACCAUUUGGUUUGUUAAAGUAAGUGGAAUUUUGUUCAAUGAAUGUUUUCAUCUUCUAAUUGAUACUUUUAUCUACAUUUCAUACAAGUAUUUAGUGACCUUUUUUAGAUUCCUCAUGUAUUCAUGGAAGUGAUUUUCCUCGUCUUGAUAGUCUGUUAGAUUAUAUUGUUCUCUUCUAAACAAAACUUACCAUAUAGCAAUUUUCUUAACGCCUUUUAAUAUUUUGUUGAUAAGAUUUGGUUUGAAAUAGAUAUUUCUCUCAUUGACAAAAUAUAUCCCUUCAAAUGUGUGCUCUGUUUUCUCAAUAUUCAAGUCAUAUACAUGUUUUCUUAAAGUUUUAAGAGAUUGCUCACUUGGCUUUGCAAAUUAUCUAAAUCUUUGAUGACAACUUCUUUCUUGGUGAUAUUCUCCUGUUUAGAUCAAUAAAAGAUGAAAUAUGACAUUAUAUCUCAUUAUUUGUGGUAUAAUUUAGUGUUCUCCUCAGUUAAUUAGUUAGUUCAAAUCUCUUUUUUAUCUUUUACAUGUGAAUUCGGGACUUGGGAGUUCCGAUGGAACUCAAUUGGGCCCAAACAUCUGGUCAACUGCCAUUAGGAUCGCAGAGCCUCGCAAAAUUAGAAGUUCAAACUCCGAAAAGGAGUCUAGUAUUCCUAGCUGUUUUUUCCUUUAAUUUACUCUUAUGAUGUUACGUCUUGUCUUUUGAAUGAUAACUAAUUCUAUUUUGUCGUUAAAUUUGCCUAGGGUAACUUUAUUUGCUUUAUAAUUGCUUUGUUACGUAUCAAAUCUUUAAAUAGGGCAGCAUUAUCAUGUUUUUUAGACUGACACUUGAUCGAUCAAUUCGUAAAGGUAAAAUUUCUUUAAAGAUUAGCGAAUUCUUUAGAAAAUUUGACCAAAUGUUUAAUUGAUUAUCUCACCUUAAAGAACAAUUUGUUAACAAAAUUGGACGUAGUAAUUCCUACGUUUGCUUAAAACAAAAAAAUAAGUUUUGAUAUUAAUUGGGUAGGAAAGUGAGUCGCUAAAGUUUUUUAGAUUUUAUCCGCUAAUUCCAACUUGCUUUAAUCUAUAUUUAUAAUAUAUUAAAAGUGUGAAGGUUUUUAGAAAAGUGAAUUGAACUAUUAUCCUUUAUUAAAAGACACUUCUUUAAACAUGAUCAUCUUUUCAC